RNAcentral lists this long non-coding RNA (1425 nucleotides) under Equus caballus (horse). RNAcentral's name for it is "lncRNA (ENSECAG00000042597.2)". The record is from RNAcentral. Lineage: Eukaryota; Metazoa; Chordata; Mammalia; Perissodactyla; Equidae.
CUUCAUUUGACAAAAGCGCAUAUUAAUAUUAUUCCCUGGCCUGAGGGCAGGAGGCUGGACCCUGAGGUCCUGUGGAGUGAGGUCCCAGACCUGUACUUUGGAGCUCUGUCCGUGAGGAAACUUCUCUGGAGCUCUGUGGAGCCAAUCGUCAAGGGCAGGGGGACUAGCAGCCCUUGUUCGGAGCGGGGAGACCAGUUCUGCUCUUGUCUCUGCCCCAGCAGAUCUAUUCUCUAGGCCUUCCUGCUUCUCUCUGUGCCUGGGAAGCUGACCUAAAUGGACCACACCACCUGCCUUCCUUGCCCUCUGGCAAUCGACCAACAGAAGUCACCAGCAGGAGAUGAGAGUGAGAAGACAAGAAGAGAUGCAGAAGCUGUUGUCUUGGCCAGGAGGAGAGACACGUCUGCAGCGACAGACAGAAUCCAGCAUGGCGGUCGCUCAGUGGGUGUUGACGUCCUCGCCGGGUUUACCCGGGACUUCCAGGAGGGAGUCUUUCCUAGAGGCAAAGAGGAGCAGAAGCAAGUUAUGGGAACAAGGCGGCGAGUAGGAGAUAGAGAGAAGAAGUGAAAGAAACUGAAGAUGUCGUCUAAGGAUUUGGAGUGUACGCAGUGAAUCAGUAUUGUCUUCUCAGACUCAGAAGCCCAGGCCAGCUGCAUGGCCAGAUGGCCCACUGGCCCCAGUGGGCCUAUCCUGCUGGUCUGAGAACUACAAGCAAAGCAGAGAGAGAGAGAGAGAAAUUAUAGCCAGUGGCUGCUGCAACUCCAGCUGUUGAUCCAAUUCCAGACAUGAGCACAAUGAUGAUCUGGCUGCCAAAAGAAAAACACAUAUUCCAGCCAGAGAAAGAACUGCCAAGGAUCUGAUGAUUUGCUUCCAUAAAUGUGUUGUCUCAUGCACAUCCAGAAGAAAAGCGGAGCUCAGUUUAAUUCUUUUCUUUGGUAUUAUUUGAACUAUUUUGUGAUUUUGUGAUGACUUUGCUACCCAUAGUAUGUUUCAUGGACCAGCAGCAUCCAUGUCCCUCAGAACAGGUUAGAAAUGUAGAAACUUGGGCCCAGCCCCACACCUAGUAACUCAGACUCUGCAUUUUUAACAAGAGCCCCGGGUGAUUCACGUGCACCUUAGGAUUGAGAAGCAUCUGAAGGCAGACAAAGUCAGGGCAUAGGACCGCGUCCAGAGGAUUGGGUAGUGAACUUGGGGUCGAGAGAAGACCAGACUUGAGAUAUGAGACGUGUUCUAGACCCAGUUCUGCCGCUUACCCUCAGUGUGACCCUGGGGAAAUCACUCCCUCUCUUUAGGCAUUGAUUUCAUUUUCUUUAAAAUGGAGAAGAACGUUUGACUUCUUGACUUCAGGAUGGGGAUGAGGAUCGAAUGAGAUACUGUGUCCGGGAAAGGAUCUGUAAAGAAGAAUGCACUUUCCAAACGCAGGAGGAU